UGCGAGGUUCACAAAAUGGAA
This 21-nucleotide unclassified non-coding RNA is filed under the name Chlamydomonas reinhardtii. Its description in RNAcentral is "small RNA Cre_3087". Lineage: Eukaryota; Viridiplantae; Chlorophyta; Chlorophyceae; Chlamydomonadales; Chlamydomonadaceae. The record is from RNAcentral.